UACGAAGGGGGCUAGCGUUGCUCGGAAUCACUGGGCGUAAAGGGCGCGUAGGCGGACUCUUAAGUCGGGGGUGAAAGCCCAGGGCUCAACCCUGGAAUUGCCUUCGAUACUGAGAGUCUCGAGACCGGAAGAGGUAAGUGGAACUGCGAGUGUAGAGGUGAAAUUCGUAGAUAUUCGCAAGAACACCAGUGGCGAAAGCGGCCUGCUGGUCCUACAUUGACGCUGAGGCGCGAAAGCAUGGGGAGCGAACGGG
This 253-nucleotide ribosomal RNA is filed under the name uncultured bacterium. RNAcentral describes it as "partial 16S ribosomal RNA". It matches the Rfam family "Bacterial small subunit ribosomal RNA", at positions 524 to 776 of the family's 1533-position model. The record is from RNAcentral.